AAGGGGGCAGGGGUAAGGGGGUGCCAGAUUAGGCCCCACACAUCUGAGGGCGGGACUGAGGCACAGGCUGCUGGCCGCAUUCCAGCCCCAAGGCCUCCGAUGUGUGGGCCCCACCCUGGGCCUCCCAAGGGUUUCCACACAGGAAGGAAGGGCGUCAGGGAGCCAGCGCCAGGGGACGGUCCAGCUCCACACUUCCUUCCUGGAGCACAGGGGUCGCACAGCCCCCGGCCUCAGCAAGCGGUCCCCCAGGCAGCACCUGCCCCAAGCCACCCAAACCACCCCUGACUCACUCGGAAAUGUGCAGGAAGAUGUCGGGGCCGCCAUCGGCCGGGGUAAUGAAGCCGUGGCCCUUGGAGCGACAGAAGCAUUUGCAGACUCCUUUGUAGACAGGACCUUGAGAAGCCCGCACCGUCCUGACAGAGAUGGGCAGAGUGAGAUGGGGGGACCACCACCAGCCCUCCAAAACAGCCACCCACUCUUCUGGGGCCCACCCAGCUCAUCCCUGAACACUCCCCCAAAAAGCUGUGCCCCAGCCCAUAGCCAAGGCCACAAUGUACAGCCAUGCAGGCUGUGCACUGCACAACUCUGGGAGCCAUUCACGCAGACUCUAAUACGAGUGAUCCUGAUGACCCUGGCAAAUUUUCUCAGGCCUCAGUUUUUCCAUCUGGACAGGGGGUUAGACCAAAAGCUCUCUGAGCAUCCCUCAAAGGAUUAGUCAUUAAUUAACUGCUCCUGGGGCCCGAGAUCUGGAUCCGCCAGGCACCGUGCACGUCCUCUGCAGCUCUACGGCCAACCUGCUACUGUCCCCAUUUUGCAGGUCAGGAAGUUAAGGUCCCACAAAGGAAGAGGCUUGUGUAUGGUUAAAACUCAACGAUUUAAGAUC
Canis lupus familiaris (dog) is the source of this 883-nucleotide long non-coding RNA. RefSeq lists it as uncharacterized. The record is from RefSeq and is a predicted model, not a curated record. The transcript has 2 exons. Lineage: Eukaryota; Metazoa; Chordata; Mammalia; Carnivora; Canidae.